GGGGUUGUAGCUCAGUGGUACAGCACUUGCCUCACAUGCAUGAGGCCCUGAGUUCCAUCCUCAGAACCACA
RNAcentral lists this transfer RNA (71 nucleotides) under Urocitellus parryii (Arctic ground squirrel). RNAcentral's name for it is "Spermophilus parryii (Arctic ground squirrel) tRNA". It matches the Rfam family "tRNA". Rfam says of the family: Transfer RNA (tRNA) molecules are approximately 80 nucleotides in length. Lineage: Eukaryota; Metazoa; Chordata; Mammalia; Rodentia; Sciuridae. The record is from Rfam by way of RNAcentral. RNAcentral also lists the same sequence under 1 other name.